Molecule: ribosomal RNA, 492 nt
Filed under: uncultured bacterium
Lineage: Bacteria
Description: partial 16S ribosomal RNA
Rfam family: Bacterial small subunit ribosomal RNA
Source: RNAcentral
AGUGAACGCUGGCGGUAGGCCUAACACAUGCAAGUCGAACGGCAGCACAGUAAGAGCUUGCUCUUACGGGUGGCGAGUGGCGGACGGGUGGGGAAUACAUCGGAAUCUACUUUUUCGUGGGGGAUAACGUAGGGAAACUUACGCUAAUACCGCAUACGACCUACGGGUGAAAGCAGGGGAUCUUCGGACCUUGCGCGAUUGAAUGAGCCGAUGUCGGAUUAGCUAGUUGGCGGGGUAAAGGCCCACCAAGGCGACGAUCCGUAGCUGGUCUGAGAGGAUGAUCAGCCACACUGGAACUGAGACACGGUCCAGACUCCUACGGGAGGCAGCAGUGGGGAAUAUUGGACAAUGGGCGCAAGCCUGAUCCAGCCAUGCCGCGUGAGUGAAGAAGGCCUUCGGGUUGUAAAGCCCUUUUGUUGGGAAAGAAAAGCAGCAGAUGAAUACCCCGCUGUUCUGACGGUACCCAAAGAAUAAGCACCGGCUAACUUCGUG